Long non-coding RNA from Xyrauchen texanus (razorback sucker), 425 nucleotides. RefSeq lists it as uncharacterized. The transcript has 3 exons. The record is from RefSeq and is a predicted model, not a curated record. NCBI's taxonomy places the organism in Eukaryota, Metazoa, Chordata, Actinopteri, Cypriniformes, Catostomidae.
GGAUGGCUGGCGCGAAACAGACGUUCCGAAGCUUUGCGAGAUCCCGAAGCAAAGAUGAUUCGAAACACUGAUCCGAAGCGUGAUUCAAAACACCCACGUCACGUGACAACGGCUAAAUGAAGCGUCUAAGUGUUUCAUCAGCUCGCCUACUGCAACAAUACAUCAUCCAUGAUGCGCCAUUUGAGGAGCAUUCAUCCUGCCAUUCUGCAGGGUGCAGAGGAUGGUAGUGUUCCCCCUGUACCAAGGCCUGCUACUGACACUGCUGGGCCAUCUAAGCAAGGCAGACAGAGGGAAUUGGAUGAGGCUCUUCUGAACAUGGUGGUGAAGGAUCUGCAGCCCUUCACCAUCGUGGAGGAUGAGGGUUUCAGGGCCUUUGUGAACAAGCUUGAUCCAAGCUAUGUCCUCCCAUCCCGGAAGGUGCUUAA